UACGGAGGGUGCAAGCGUUGUUCGGAAUCACGAGGCGUAAAGCGUGCGUAGGCGGUUUGGUAAGUCGAGAGUGCAAUCCCAGGGCUCAACUCUGGAACUGCUCUCGAUACUGCUGAACUUGAGUGUGAGAGAGGGAAGCGGAAUUCCUGGUGUAGCGGUGAAAUGCGUAGAUAUCAGGAGGAACACCGGUGGCGAAAGCGGCUUCCUGGCUCAUUACUGACGCUGAGGCACGAAAGCGUGGGGAGCAAACAGG
This 253-nucleotide unclassified non-coding RNA is filed under the name uncultured Pseudobdellovibrionaceae bacterium. RNAcentral describes it as "uncultured Bdellovibrionaceae bacterium contains 16S-23S intergenic spacer region". It matches the Rfam family "Bacterial small subunit ribosomal RNA", at positions 524 to 776 of the family's 1533-position model. Lineage: Bacteria; Pseudomonadati; Bdellovibrionota; Bdellovibrionia; Bdellovibrionales; Pseudobdellovibrionaceae. The record is from RNAcentral.